RNAcentral lists this ribosomal RNA (253 nucleotides) under uncultured bacterium. RNAcentral's name for it is "partial 16S ribosomal RNA". It matches the Rfam family "Bacterial small subunit ribosomal RNA", at positions 524 to 776 of the family's 1533-position model. The record is from RNAcentral.
UACGUAGGGUGCGAGCGUUAAUCGGAAUUACUGGGCGUAAAGCGUGCGCAGGCGGUUCGUUGUGUCGGCGGUGAAAGCCCCGGGCUCAACCUGGGAAUGGCCGUUGAAACUGGCGAACUGGAGUGUGGCAGAGGGGGGUGGAAUUCCGCGUGUAGCAGUGAAAUGCGUAGAGAUGCGGAGGAACACCGAUGGCGGAGGCAGCCCCCUGGGCUGACACUGACGCUCAGGCGCGACAGCGUGGGGAGCAAACAGG